Molecule: long non-coding RNA, 1149 nt
Filed under: Sus scrofa (pig)
Lineage: Eukaryota; Metazoa; Chordata; Mammalia; Artiodactyla; Suidae
Description: lncRNA (ENSSSCG00060064983.1)
Source: RNAcentral
AGCAAGCGAGCGAGCGUGUCCUCCUUCCGCCUCCCUCUCUUCCGUCGUCCGCACUGGGCUGGGGCGGCGGCGCCUGAGCGGUUCCCUCGCGAGCCUGUGCGGACCUAGCCGCUGGAGAAGAGGAGGAGCAGCCCGGGCGGGGCGGAGACGCUUGCGGGCUCCUCUCAGUCACUUCAGCCAAUCAACAGCCAGAACCGAUGGUUGCGUAGUGUCCCCACCCCCUCGGGCACGCCUCUCUUCGAUAAGCCACGCCCAACUGCCCUCCAGCCGCCUUCCCUUUCGGCGGUUUCCGCGCGGUCCUAAUGUGUGGUGGCUGACCGCGGGCUGGGGUGGGGAAGGACGCGGUAGGACUGUAGGAGAUGGCUAGGUGUGCUAGAGCGCGGCAAGGCGCUGCUGAGACCCGCGUGUGCGGAGGGAAGUGGGGAACUGCCCCUUUUCCAAGGGCCUGAACACAGCUUUUGACUACUGACUGUCCUGUUCUGCCUUCCUCUUCGCGUGGGCCACCGCCCCACAGCGCCGCUGGGUUCCCUUCGCGGCCGCAUGGUACGCGUCCCGGGAGCGAAGCUUCCCCUGGGGGGAGCGCGCUAACCUGAGCUCCUUCGGUGCACCGCCCUGCCGACUGUCUGGAAGUCAGCAAUGGGAUAUUCCCACCACAACUUUACCGGGAUCUCUGGGUUGACUCUCUGGGUUGAGGAUCGGGGAGCUGGGUCGGGAGGCUGGCUUGUGGCUGUGGUUGAGGGGCCCGGACGCCUCGAAAGCAGGAGGGUGCCCAGGCGAAGUGCAGGCUGCACCAUGCAAUCUUCCGGGCGCAGAGGCGACCCAACCCGACCUGAGGGAGAUCCACGGGCUCUGGGCCGAGGGGAGACGCAGUGGAAUGAACUGAACUGCUGGUCCACAAGAACAGUUUUUCUAUCAAAGGAUACCAUCAAAUUCUGGAGAAGUUCUACAAAUCAUAAUCUAUUUCCCUUUUUCCAGAAAGGCAACUUGAUUCGGGGGGAUAUGGCAGCUUCCACUCUGAGGUGCCCUUACUUCAAAUCAGGCCCAGCCCAAGGAAUUCUAGUAGCAUGUAUCCAACUGUUUCAAACCUCCACCUGCUACAUGGGCGUGGCUUCUGAGAUCGACAUGCUUCCAACAGCUUAUACAGAGUGA